RNAcentral lists this ribosomal RNA (230 nucleotides) under uncultured bacterium. RNAcentral's name for it is "partial 16S ribosomal RNA". It matches the Rfam family "Bacterial small subunit ribosomal RNA", at positions 562 to 791 of the family's 1533-position model. The record is from RNAcentral.
AAAGCGUGCGCAGGCGGUUCGGAAAGAGAGGUGUGAAAUCCCAGGGCUCAACCUUGGAACUGCACUUUUAACUACCGAGCUAGAGUAUGUCAGAGGGGGGUGGAAUUCCGCGUGUAGCAGUGAAAUGCGUAGAUAUGCGGAGGAACACCGAUGGCGAAGGCAGCCCCCUGGGAUAAUACUGACGCUCAUGCACGAAAGCGUGGGGAGCAAACAGGAUUAGAUACCCGUGU